Triticum aestivum (bread wheat) is the source of this 8558-nucleotide long non-coding RNA. RefSeq lists it as uncharacterized. The transcript is spliced from 12 exons. The record is from RefSeq and is a predicted model, not a curated record. NCBI's taxonomy places the organism in Eukaryota, Viridiplantae, Streptophyta, Magnoliopsida, Poales, Poaceae.
GCACCCAACCCCAAUCUGAGGCUCCCAACGGUAAUAUCUCCGCGCUGCGCCGCGUUGCCGACCGACCGAGACUGACCCCUCCUGGCCCCUGCCCACCCAGUCCGGCCGAAUCCAGCCCCAACACGCUCCACUUCCCUUCGAUUUCCGCCGCCCGCCGAAGCCGUCUCCGGCAAGGACCCGACCGGCGACACGACCUCUUCCCGGCGGCCCGCCCGCGGCCAGGCGCGCUCUUUCCUCUCUCCCCGCGCUCUGGCCAUGGCCGGUCUGCUCCUCCUCUCUUCGUCCGGGGCCCCGGGUCAUGGCCGUCUCUCGCCUCGCCUCCUCGCGUCCGGUUUGGAAUCGCUCCUCCUUGAUUCGUCGCCCGUUCAGGUUUAGAACCGCGCCUGAUUUGGUUUUCGUUCCUGCUCGAUUCGCCUGUUUGGAAUUGCGCCUGGUUUGAUCUUGCUCGUCCUCGCUGUCGUCCGGUUCAAUUUUGCUCGUCCUCGCCGCCGUCGUCCGUGUAGGGUCGCGCCUGGUUCAAUUUCGCUCAUCCUCGCUGCCGUCGUCCGUGUAGGGUCGCUUGCGGUUUGAUUUCGCUCGUCCUCGUCGUCGUCCGUGUAGGGUCGCGCCUAGCUCGAUUUCGCUCGUCCUCGCCGUUGACCCGAUGCGCUCGCGUGUUCUUGGUCCGUCUCGCCUCGUCGGGGUCUCCUCCGUCUCGUUUGCGUACUAGCAAUUCUGUCCGCGCGCGCUUCUGUUAGCCGAACUAGCAGUCCUGGGUUUCAUGCUCGCGUCUGGUUUCGAAAUUGGAUUACGGCCGGAGACGGGGAGCGGUGUUCGUUUAUUGUGCUAGUUCAGACCGGUUCCUCCAUUCCGUCACCUACGUUGCUCUUGGUGAUUUUCAAAACUCAAACGUAUGCUCUCCUGUGAUACUCUGUCAAUUCUUGGCCCUCUGUCAGUUCUUGUUGGCCCUCUGUCAAUUCUUGAGUUCCAGGGUCUGUUAAUUCUUGACUUCUUGUUGUACCGGCUAGGCGUGUGUGCUCUCAUCCUAUAUUCAGAGAUGGGGUGAUUCCUUACGCUUGAUCUCAUGGUGUUUCCUUACUGUUUAUGUUCUUUCCAAUUUGUUUCUUUUUAUCAUGCUUUGCUUGCGUGUUCCGAGCAGAAAAGUUUUACAAGAGUGCAAACCAUGUGGCCUGCUGCUUGACUAAUUGAACACCUGCUGCUGCUACUGUUGGACAAGGUUCCUUCUUUUCUUCCUGAUGUUGCUAUUUCCAUUGAACUACUCAUAGGAGUUCUAGAUGAGCUGCUGCUAGUUAGUUCCCCUUAGACUACAUUCUAGAUUGCAUAGCAUAAUUACAGAAUUUUGUCAUUGCACACCUGGGCAUAUAAUUCUGUUGUGAGCAUAACUCCUGAAUUCAUUCAUCCGUGAAAGCACGUUCAUCACAUGUUUUUUACCAUGCUGCUAACUUCUGUCAUGUCCCUUUCCUUUGGACAAGAAUUUCAACGAACCUAUAACGUGGACAUGUGCUGCUUGUUUUCUUGUGAUGAUGGUGAUCCAAUUGAGUAGCCCAACUCUUAUGCUCUGACAUUUGUUAAUCCCCAGUUAGUGUGCAUGAAAAUUUAUUGUUUGUCAUGUUAAAUUUUAUGGCAUCAAUUCGGUAUUGUGAUUAAUGACUUAGUAUUUGUUUAGUGUAGACAGUUGACUUCUUUUUUCUUAAGCUUUUAGUGAUAUGCAUGUUUUGUUAUGUCUUAUGGGGAUAUCAUAUUCUUUCUUUGUAUUACUAAUGUCCAGUCAAUGGAAAAUGCUUUUCUUGCUUGGCCUAGACUUUGUGACAAUUAACUUAUAGUGUGAUCAUUGAUCAUGAGAUUCUGACACCCUAUUCCGUAAAAUUCUGUUGUAAUAUUUGCUGGAUCAUUGAGUAGUUAAUAUUGAUUCUGAGUUUGUUGGAUCAUUAACUUCUGUGUGUGCUUUGGUUAUCUAAGAGACACUCACUAUCCCGUGUUUCAUAUUCGUGGCGGAGCGAUGAACGAUUAUGUUCCGUGUCCCUGUGUUUCGUGUUCGCCUGUCUGGUUUUGGAUUUGGAUUACGGAGACGGGGAGAGGCCAAAGCAAGGUCAGUUUAUCGUGUUUGCUCAGAUCGGUUCCUCGGUUCCGUCGCUGCGUUGUUCGUCGGCUAUUUCCAGUCCUCAAACGCAUGCGCCCUUGUGAUAUUCUGCUUUGGCUCGCUGGUCGUUAUGGUUGUUCGUUACGGUUGUUCUUAUGUUCUUGAAUCACCCAUCUUAUAAGCAGAGAUGGGGUGAUACAUUAUGGUUGUUCUGAUGGUUGCUUAUUUAGUGUUCUUUCCAAAUUGGGUUCUUCUUGCCAUGCUUCGCUUAUGUUCCCAAUGUCUGUCUUUCCAUAUAUGGGGAUGCGUUAGGGUGCAAACCAUGUAGGCCAUGGUGUGUUUUUUACUAGCUAUGGUGUGUUUUAUACUAUCUGAUGUGGAAGGUGGAAAUAUUGAUACCACUUCUGUGUUAGUAUACUUGAUAUGGUGUGUUUUAUUCAAGUAAUUAACCACAUCUCUUACAAAUUUUCCUUGAGAUACAUGUUUGGCAGGAGUGAUUGUCUCGACGAAUAAUCAUUUAUGCUAACAGACCAGUACUUGAUCAUAGGUAACAGACCAAUACUUGAUCAUAGGUAACAGACCAGUACUUGAUCAUAGGUAACAGACCAGUACUUGUUUAGUGCAGACAACUGACUAUUCUUUUUUUCUGAACUUUUUGUGAUAUGUCUGUUAUGUGGAUAUCAUAUUCUAAUGCUUUUCUAAGUAUUUAAGGUACAAACAUGUGGAUCUGGACAUUUCACAUUUGCUCUUUAUUGUGUUGCUAAGGACACUGAACGGUUUAUCUGGGCCACCGCACAGCCUGGCUAAUCAGGUUGUAGUGAUUAGGGAGAAGCUUGCAGAACUGUAUGAAUUUGAAUAACAAUGGCCGAGAGCAUGACAAAUGCUUAGUGGCACUGACUUGGACUCAGGAAUAAGGAUGCUUGAUGACAAACAAAUUAUCCAAGUGCGUCCAGGUUGCACGACUAUUUGGAGGAUGAUGAUGCAGUGAAUGUUGAAGCUUUUAUCAACAAAGCCUCAUUUUUUGUCACAAACAGCAACCAGGAAGUUCUGAACUUUUAAUACAAGGUAUGCUAUGCGAGAAUUUUAGAUCUAAAGCGUAAAUUCUUGGAAGCUGCACUUCGAUACUAUGGUAUCUCUCAAAUUGAGCAACGCCAACUUGGGGAUGAUAUUUAAGGUACAUACAUUGGAUCUGGACAUUUCACAUUGGCUCUUUAUUGUGUUGCUAAGGACACUGAUGGGUUGAGUUUGCCUAAAACGCAGUAUGGAGCAACAAAUUGGUCUCAUUGCAAGGUUACUACCUGGACGUAUAGGCAAGCAAUGUCAAGAGAGGUGACAUAAUCAUCUGAAUCCAGACAUACAGAGAGAUGCUUGGACUAUGAGGAGGAACAUGCACUGUAUAAUGCCCAGGGAAUAAAUGGGCAGAAAUAGCAAAAUUUCCUAGAAGACAUCUGAACAUUGCAGGAAUGAGGUACUUCCAUUUGUGUAACUUCUAUUUGUUACCAGUUCUUCUCACCUAUUGGAGUUGCAAGAUACACAGAAUUAGUCAUCUUAAUCUUCUUUUGUAAAUAUGACUGCUGGUGCUGCUGGUAACGCUAUCCAUCGGCUUGUAGCUCAUGAGAGGCAACCACAGUUGCCAACUUGAAACAUAUAUCUUUUAGGAACGAAGAUCUGAAUCACCCUCACCCCUCGAGAGAAAUCGUUUAGUCAUUCAGGUUCUGGAAUUUCUUUAUAGCUUUCUGAGUUUACUUCGGUCUUGCAUGUCUGUUUCUAUGUCUGUUUAUAGCUUUCUGUUUGUGCCCCUAUCUAUGUCUGUUUCUUAUUGUUUAUUGUGUGCAAGUGCUCCAUUCUGUGUCUGUCUGACUGUUUGUUUUCUUGACUCUCUUGUGUGUGUGUGGCUUGACUGUCUGUGUGUGUGGCUUGACUCUCUUGUGUGUGUGGCUUGACUCUCUUGUGUGUGUGUGGCUUGACUGUCUAUGUGUGUGGCUUGACUCUCUUGUGUGUGUGGCUUGACUGUCUGUGUGUGGGACUGUGUGUUUGACUGUGUGUGAAUAUUGCAUUUGAUUGUGAUGUGUGACUAUGUGUGUGUGACUCUGUGUUUGACUGUGUGUGUGACUGAAUAUUGUGCAUUUUACUGUGAUGUGUGUGACUGUGAAUAAUGCAUUUUGGCAAUGACUGUGUGUGUGAUUGUGUGUGGCUUGACUCUCUGUGUGUGUGUGGCUUGUAUGCUUUGUUGAAUGAUUGGUUGGUGUGGCCUAACACUGCCUUUGCCGGUCCCAAGCCCGGAUGCGAAAAUGUGGAAGGAGCUGUAGUUACCUCCUUUGUAUUGUUUGCCUUGGAAGUGUGAAUAUUGCAUUUUGACAAUGACUGUGUGUGUGACCUGACUUUUUGAGCUUGUGUGUGUGGCUUGACUGUCUGUGUGUGGGACUAUGUGUUUGACUGUGUGUGAAUAUUGCAUUUGACUGUGAUGUGUGACUAUGUGUGUGUGUGACUCUGUGUUUGACUGUGUGUGUGACUGCAUAUUGUGCAUUUUACUGUGAUGUGUGUGACUGUGAAUAAUGCAUUUUGGCAAUGACUGUGUGUGUGAUUGUGUGUGGCUUGACUGUGUGUGUGUGUGGGGCUUGUAUGCUUUGUUGAAUGAUUGGUUGGUGUGGCCUAACACUGCCUUUGCCGAUCCCAAGCCCGAAUGCGAAAAUGUGGAGGAAGUUGUAGUUACCUCCUUUGUAUUGUUUGCCUUAGAAGUGUGAAUAUUGCAUUUUGACAAUGACUGUGUGUGGGAUUGUGUGUGACCUGACUUUUUGAGUGUGUGUGUGCCUUGUAUGCUUUGCUGAAUGAUUGCUUGGUGUGGCCUAACAUUGCCUUUGCCGGUCCCAAGCCUGGAUGCGAAAAUGUGGAGGGAGCCGCAGUUACCUCCCUUGUAUUGUUUGCCUUAGAAGUCUGGAUAGAAAUUACUCUGUCCUAAUUUAAUAUUAAAUCUUCACAUAAUGUCAUCAUGUGAUUUAACAUCUGAAAUGCAUCCUUCCUUGCUAUGAAAAAUCUGGCAAGUGUAAUUGUCGUUAGAAUUCGUCCCGUCUCCUAAAUUAAUCUCGAUGGUUUCUUAAAUUUUGUGUCAGUCUGAUCAUGCACGAAUCUCAGUGUCGCAGAUGUUCCUCAUUUGCCUGUCACUCGUGAGUGCAUGUCGAGUUUAUUUGUCGUUGGACUUUUUAUUCAGGUUGUGGGCCGCCCACUUCUUGUUUUCCAUGUUUGGACCCUGACCCAUGUGGGGGUGUCCUUUUCAGUUGUGUGUCAUUUCUAGAGGGGAUGAGUUGUUGAGUGUGUGUGUGUGAGAGAGAGAGGGGGGGGGGGGGGGGGGGGGGGGAGCUGACUUCAGCGCACGGCCAAUAAGGCACAUUUUCGAGGAAGAGCGGGCACCUCAUUCCCGUCAAAAAACCGAUUCUCCUCAGUGUUCGAGUGCAGUUGUGUGGGGUAAUGGGGGAGAAAUUGGUAGCCAACCAGCCCAACCUAGUGACCAUGGCGAGGAGGGUGAAUAUAAUCUGUUUGUCUUUGUGUGUUUGCUUUUUUUGGCAGUUUAAGUUUUGUUCCUAACUUCCCGUGCGUGCUAUUUGUCCACACCCCCUACUAUAGAAUAACAUAUGAAUUAUUUAUUUUGAAUUUCACAUGAGAUAACUUUGGUCAAUGAUAAAAAUGAGUUAUUGCUCACCCUGUUCAGCUGAGGGGGGCUGUGCCGACAUGUGUUUUUAUUGGGUUAAAAGUGCGGUGUUUUUCUGGCAUUUCUGUUAGUUUAGUGUCAUUUUUGUGCCGUGUACAUGCUCCUCAUUAGCAUGAGGGAUAAUGGACCUUGUAUACAGAUUUUUGGGACUCGGUUCGUUGAAUAUAGUAGCAAAAGGGUCCAUGUGUUGCAAUCGGAAAAGAAAAAUCUCCAAUGGCCAUGACCACAUUUUGCUGCAUCAUCGAGAUACACUAUCACUCUUAAUUUCAUGAAAUCAUGAACAUUUUUUAAACUCUUGAACAUAUUUCAAAUUGUGAACACUUCACAAAUUUUAGAACAUGUUCUCAAAUCAAGAACAUUUUUUGAAUUCAUGAACAUUUAUUAUAUUUGCAAAUAUUUUUUAUAAAAUUAUCAACAUUUUUUAAACAAUUAUCUUCAAUCGGCGAACAUUUCUAGAAUUGAUGAACAUUUUUUUUGGAAAUUGGUGGAACAAUUUUUUAAAUUCACGAACAUUCUUUUGAUGUAACUUAUUUUUUAAUCAUCCAAGAUUUUAUGAAUGAAUAGACUAUUUUUUAAGUCACGAACAAUUUUUGAAUUUUUAGGAUAUUUUUCAUCCGUGAACAUUUUUUGAAUUGGUGAAAUUUUGUUCAAUUUCAUUAACAUUUUUAAUACACUAACUUUUUGAAAAAUCAUGAUUUUUUUAUUUCCGAGGCAUACGUUUUUAAAAAUUGGAACAUUUUUUGAACGAGCAAACAUUUUUUACAAAAUCACGAACAUUUUUUGAAUCCACAAGCAUUUUGUGAUUUAUUAAAAAGAUUAAAAAAAAGUCCCAAAUUAUUUGAAGUAGAAACAAACAAAAACAGGGAAAAUGAUUUUUUUAAAAGACCGCUGGGACAUGGGCCGGCCCAAACGGGCGCGACGCGUCUUCUCCCAGUGCGCAAAAAGUAUAGUAUAGGAGGUCCCUACUGCAUCUGCCGGCCUAGGCGGGCAUUCCCUUGUUUAAAACAUUUUUUUAUCACUUGUAGGUGGUAUUGGUGGAUAAUAUCUUGCAACUUUGGCAUUGGUUUAGUGAUCUGACAAUUCAUUGCAACCUUCCAUUUUGUCAUUGUUCUUUUAAGUCAUAGUAUUAUUCAUCAGUCAUCUUUAGUCAAAUUCAAAACCUUAUUCAGUUAGUUCAGUCGUCUCAACCUGGCGGCAUUGAACUUGUUGAUUUAUCAUUUUCAUUGCAUUUUGUGUGUGCAUCAUUUGAGCAUCAUGUCUACAUGUUUUUGGAGCAUCUUCAUGCCAUCAUUGUAUUUUUAUGAGCUCUUUGGUGACUAGCACAAGCAUGCAAAGUAGGCUAUGUGAUGUUGCUGAUUUCAGACACUGUGGAUUUUUGCUAAGUCUUUUCCUGUUACAUUAUGUUGCUAUAUUGACUUGUUUCCACAAGUAGAUCCAUGCAUAUUUUGAUUAACUUCAGUAAGGAUGUUUUGAAGAUAUGGUCAUGCUUUAUUCUUUCAUGCCUCUGGUUGUAUUUAUGGUGUAGUGUAGUUUGUCAUUACCAUGCUCUACUUUUGCUAAAUAUUGUUGUUCGCAGAUUGUUAACAUGAAUUGCAUUUUUGCCAUGUGUUUUGCUAGUGAUCCAUGCACCCGAUGAACUUGAUCUUUCCAUGUUUAGCUUCAUAAUUGUAUCUAUCUACUGUUGGUUACCUUUUUAUGCCAUGUAAUGCUUUGUGGUGAGUGGCACGAGCUUGUAAAGUUUCUAUUAUGAAUCUAUUUUUACCAUGCUAUGUUUUUCUUCUGUCUGAAACUCUUCAUAUCACUUGCCAUGUUUGCAUUGAUGUUACCAUCUUUUCUGUGCAUCUUUGGCUCAAGAUUAGUAAGGGAGUUUUGUUCAUUGCCUUUAGUACUAGCAUGCCAUGCUUUUGGUUUCCAUGUUAUGUUCCUGUAGCAUGUUGGUUCCUAGCUCUAAACAUUGCUACCUAAUGCUGUUUAUGCCAUGUUUAGUAUUUUCACUAAGUCUGAAACCUGACUGUCAUUUGCAUUUUUGCCAUGCUGUUUUAGGCUUGUUCUAGUGAGUUGUAGCAGGAACUCGGUGUUCAUGAUUUGUAGAGCCUCACUUGUACUUCACUGCCAUGUGCUUUGUUGCUAUGUUGGAGUGUUGUUGCAUAGUUUCGUGAUGCAUCUUAAGUGCUAUGAUGCUGUUAAGCGCAAUGUUGCAUUGUUCUUGUUUUGCUUGUGAUUUGCAAAUCGUGCAUCCGUUUCUGGUGAUCCUUAUAUCUAUUUCGACCGAAAUCACUCACUCUUUUCAGUGGCAUGCUUAGUUUGCCAAGUUGAUUCCAUGAUCAUCCUUUCCCUUCCGGAGUACCCAUAUGCAUUGCACAUCAUACCUUGCAUUCCAUGCCAUGUCUUGCAUCAUGUUGCUUGUGCAUUGCACCGUGAUUGAUUGUUGUUCUGUUGCUUGUGUUCUUACUUUGUGUAGAGCCCAGAGACGAGUUCGUGAAUGAGGAACCUGUUGAGUAUGUUUACGAGGAGCAAACUUUCGACAACCUUAAGAACUUUGUAGGCAACAUGAUCAUUACCCCCGAUAUCACUUCUAUGUUUGCUUGCUAGUUGUUCGCUCUAUCGCUAUGUCGUGCUACAUACCACUUGUUUAUCAUGCCUCCCAUAUUGCGAUGUCAAGCCUCUAACCCACCUUCCUAGCAAACCGUUGUUUGACUAAGUUACCUCUUUUGCUCAGCCCCUCUUAUAGCAUUGCUAGUUGCAGGUGCCUUGCAGGUUGUUCCAUGUUGG